This 773-nucleotide ribosomal RNA is filed under the name uncultured bacterium. RNAcentral's name for it is "bacterial SSU rRNA". It matches the Rfam family "Bacterial small subunit ribosomal RNA", at positions 8 to 796 of the family's 1533-position model. The record is from RNAcentral.
AGAGUUUGAUCCUGGCUCAGGACGAACGCUGGCGGCGUGCUUAACACAUGCAAGUCGAACGCGAAUGGGGGGCAACCCCCUAGUAGAGUGGCGCACGGGUGAGUAACACGUGGGUAAUCUACCUCUGGGUGGGGUAUAACAAUUCGAAAGGAUUGCUAAUCCCGCAUAAGACCACGGUCCCCUCGGGGGCUGGGGCCAAAGCAGCAAUGCGCCUGGAGACGAGCCCGCGGCCCAUCAGCUAGUUGGCGGGGUAAUGGCCCACCAAGGCUUUGACGGGUAGCUGGUCUGAGAGGACGACCAGCCACACUGGGACUGGAACACGGCCCAGACUCCUACGGGAGGCAGCRGUGAGGAAUAUUGGACAAUGGGCGAAAGCCUGAUCCAGCAACGCCGCGUGGGUGAUGAAGGCCUUCGGGUUGUAAAGCCCUGUCGGGAGGGAAGAGUAAGGACGGUACCUCCUAAGGAAGCACCGGCUAACUCCGUGCCAGCAGCCGCGGUAAUACGGAGGGUGCAAGCGUUGUCCGGAAUCACUGGGCGUAAAGCAGGUGCAGGCGGCUUGUUAUGUCGGGUGUGAAAUCCCAAGGCUUAACCUUGGAACUGCGCUCGAAACUGGCAAGCUUGAGUACGGUAGGGGAUGGUGGAAUUCUGGGUGUAGAGGUGAAAUUCGUAGAUAUCCAGAAGAAUACCGGUGGCGAAGGCGACCAUCUGGCCCGUUACUGACGCUCAGACCUGAAAGCGUGGGGAGCAAACAGAAUUAGAUACCCUGGUAGUCC